UACGUAGGGAGCAAGCGUUGUCCGGAAUCAUUGGGCGUAAAGCGCGCGUAGGUGGCCUCGUAAGUCCGCUGUGAAAGUCAAAGGCUCAACCUUUGAAAGCCGAUGGAUACUGUGAGGCUAGAGUCCGGAAGAGGCGAGUGGAAUUCCUGGUGUAGCGGUGGAAUGCGCAGAUAUCAGGAGGAACACCAAUAGCGAAGGCAGCUCGCUGGGACGGUACUGACGCUAAGGCGCGAAAGCGUGGGGAGCGAACAGG
Molecule: ribosomal RNA, 253 nt
Filed under: uncultured bacterium
Lineage: Bacteria
Description: partial 16S ribosomal RNA
Rfam family: Bacterial small subunit ribosomal RNA
Source: RNAcentral